Molecule: long non-coding RNA, 466 nt
Filed under: Carica papaya (papaya)
Lineage: Eukaryota; Viridiplantae; Streptophyta; Magnoliopsida; Brassicales; Caricaceae
Description: long non-coding RNA (CPAP_LNC014125)
Source: RNAcentral
CCCAUACCCCGUCUGGUAUGGGUGCCAAAAACCAUAAACCUCAAUACCCCGUCCGGUAUGAGGGUGAAACGGGCCAUCCCCAUACCCCGUCCAGUAUGAGCGCCAAAACAAAUAAGGUCUCCAUACCCCGUCCGAUAUGAGAGACCACGUUCUCGGUAGGGUUCCCUACGGACCCGGUCCGUCCACCAUCUCCCAGGAUAUCUAGUUAGGCUGUCGACAUCAUCCAUUUAUCAAUUCAUAUACCUUCUUUCAUUUUUCUUGGUCUCAAUUAUCCAAUCAAAUAUGAACACGUAAACUAGUAAUGAACACCAAAUAAGACAACAAUGAAUUCACAAUAAUUCAAACCAUAAUAAAUGAAACCGUGAUUCAUGUACACGAAACCAUAAAAUAAACACAUCAGAUACCAUAUUACAUUUAAAACUGUAAAAUAGAUCAAACAACAACUGACCGAAAAAUACAUCAGAUU